AGGAUCAACGCUGGCGGCGUGCCUAACGCAUGUAAGUCGAACGCAGGGUCUUCGGACCCUGAGUGGCGAACGGCUGAGGAACACGUACGAACCUGCCCGCUUGUGGGGAAUAACUCACCGAAAGGUGAGCUAAGACCGCGUACGCUCGGCGAUGAGCCGAGGAAAGCCGCAAGGCGCAGGCGGAGGGGCGUGCGGCCCAUCAGGUUGUUGGUGGGGUAUCGGCCUACCAAGCCAAUGACGGGUAGCUGGUCUGUGAGGACGAUCAGCCAGACUGGGACUGCGAAACGGCCCAGACACCUAUGGGUGGCAGCAGCGAGGAAUCUCCACAAUGGGCGCAAGCCCGAUGGAGCAACGCCGCGUGGAGGACGACGGCCUUCGGGUUGUAAACCGUCCGUUUCGGGAGGGAUGAGUAGGACAGUACCUCCAAAAGAGCCCCGGCUAACUCUGUGCCAGCAGCCGC
RNAcentral lists this ribosomal RNA (460 nucleotides) under uncultured soil bacterium. RNAcentral's name for it is "bacterial SSU rRNA". It matches the Rfam family "Bacterial small subunit ribosomal RNA", at positions 26 to 518 of the family's 1533-position model. The record is from RNAcentral.